RNAcentral lists this ribosomal RNA (498 nucleotides) under uncultured bacterium. RNAcentral's name for it is "partial 16S ribosomal RNA". It matches the Rfam family "Bacterial small subunit ribosomal RNA", at positions 30 to 523 of the family's 1533-position model. The record is from RNAcentral.
AUUGAACGCUGGCGGCAUGCCUUACACAUGCAAGUCGAACGGUAACAGGUCUUCGGAUGCUGACGAGUGGCGAACGGGUGAGUAAUACAUCGGAACGUGCCUAGUAGUGGGGGAUAACUACUCGAAAGAGUGGCUAAUACCGCAUGAGAUCUACGGAUGAAAGCAGGGGAUCGCAAGACCUUGUGCUACUAGAGCGGCCGAUGGCAGAUUAGGUAGUUGGUGGGAUAAAAGCUUACCAAGCCGACGAUCUGUAGCUGGUCUGAGAGGACGAUCAGCCACACUGGGACUGAGACACGGCCCAGACUCCUACGGGGGGCAGCAGUGGGGAAUUUUGGACAAUGGGCGCAAGCCUGAUUCAGCAAUGCCGCGUGCAGGAUGAAGGCCUUCGGGUUGUAAACUGCUUUUGUACGGAACGAAAAGCCCUGGGUUAAUACCCUGGGGUCAUGACGGUACCGUAAGAAUAAGCACCGGCUAACUACGUGCCAGCCGCCGCAGUAA